AACGAACGCUGGCGGCAGGCCUAACACAUGCAAGUCGAACGAACCUUCGGGUUAGUGGCGCACGGGUGAGUAACGCGUGGGAAUUUGCCUCCAGGUACGGAACAACAGCUGGAAACGGCUGCUAAUACCGUAUGAUGUCUACGGACCAAAGAUUUAUCGCCUGAAGAUGAGCCCGCGUUAGAUUAGGUAGUUGGUGGGGUAACGGCCUACCAAGCCGACGAUCUAUAGCUGGUCUGAGAGGAUGAUCAGCCACACUGGGACUGAGACACGGCCCAGACUCCUACGGGAGGCAGCAGUGGGGAAUAUUGGACAAUGGGGGCAACCCUGAUCCAGCCAUGCCGCGUGAGUGACGAAGGCCUUAGGGUUGUAAAACUCUUUCAGUGGUGACGAUAAUGACGGUAGCCACAGAAGAAGCCCCGGCUAACUCCGUGCCAGCAGCCGCGGUAAUACGGAGGGGGCUAGCGUUGUUCGGAAUUACUGGGCGUAAAGCGCGCGUAGGCGGAUGAUCAAGUUGGGGGUGAAAGCCCGGGGCUUAACCUCGGAACUGCCCUCAAAACUGGCCAUCUAGAAUCCGGGAGAGGUGAGCGGAAUUCCUAGUGUAGAGGUGAAAUUCGUAGAUAUUAGGAAGAACACCAGUGGCGAAGGCGGCUCACUGGACCGGUAUUGACGCUGAGGUGCGAAAGCGUGGGGAGCGAACAGGAUUAGAUACCCUGGUAGUCCACGCCGUAGACGAUGGAUGCUAGAUGUUGGGAAGCUUGCUUUUCAGUGUCGCAGCUAACGCGUUAAGCAUCCCGCCUGGGGAGUACGGUCGCAA
This 814-nucleotide ribosomal RNA is filed under the name uncultured Pseudomonadota bacterium. RNAcentral's name for it is "bacterial SSU rRNA". It matches the Rfam family "Bacterial small subunit ribosomal RNA", at positions 28 to 891 of the family's 1533-position model. The record is from RNAcentral. Lineage: Bacteria; Pseudomonadati; Pseudomonadota.